Molecule: ribosomal RNA, 292 nt
Filed under: uncultured bacterium
Lineage: Bacteria
Description: partial 16S ribosomal RNA
Rfam family: Bacterial small subunit ribosomal RNA
Source: RNAcentral
GUGACAGCCGCCGCGGUAAUACGGAGGGUGCGAGCGUUGUCUGGAAUCACUGGGCGUAAAGGGCGCGUAGGCGGCGCGGUAAGCGGGCGGUGAAAGCCCGGGGCUCAACCCCGGGUCGGCCGUGCGGACUGCCGCGCUGGAGCACUGUAUAGGCGGGCGGAAUUCCGGGUGUAGCGGUGGAAUGCGUAGAGAUCCGGAAGAACACCGGUGGCGAAGGCGGCCCGCUGGGCAGUGGCUGACGCUGAGGCGCGACAGCGUGGGGAGCAAACAGGAUUAGAAACCCCGGUAGUCC